UUGGAGUUGAAGAAGAGUAGAUGCAGAAUAAAACCCAAGUGAGCUUUGAAAAACCCAUUACUACAGACUCCAAGUCCUAAUCGCAUGAAGAAACCUGAACUAGAUAUUGGAAAAAGACCAGACCUUGCUUUCUUUUCCAAGAAGAGGGCUUAGAUAAAGUGUACAGAGAUAGAUAGAUAGAGAGAGCAUGAAGAGGUAACAGGCACUGAAAAGUUUACACAGAGAGAGAGAGAGAGAGAGAGA
RNAcentral lists this unclassified non-coding RNA (243 nucleotides) under Hevea brasiliensis (rubber tree). The record is from RNAcentral. Lineage: Eukaryota; Viridiplantae; Streptophyta; Magnoliopsida; Malpighiales; Euphorbiaceae.